AUUAGAGAUGCCAAUAAAAUUGCAAAACUGGUCCUUAAAUGCAGCACAGGACAGAGCAGCUCUGUUACAUUCUGCGCAGGUUUUCUGUACAAUAACGGAUCAUUCUAGUAAAAUACUGGUAUAUACCUCAGCAGUAUUUGCUAUGUCAGGUCAGUGUUGGUCAAAUGUUUUUUCAAAUCAGUUUUUCUAAAUGAAUGAAAUCAGUAAAAUGGUCAGAAAAUCUGUAUAUUUCUUGCUGGUAAUGUGUUGACUGAACACAGUGAAUACACUUUAUAUUUCUUUUCACAUAUUUUCUCUCAGUGUUUACCAGCUCCCUCCCCAGUGCCACUGACAGCACCUGAGGUUCAGACAGGUCAAACUCUGCGAGGCAGCUUGUGUGGUUAUUCUGUCCUGGAGUUUCUUGCUGCUACAGCAAUGUGACCAAGUGUCAGAAUUUGGAGACCAAAGAGACAGUCGCUGUCCAGGUCCUCAAGGACACUGAUUUUAUUCAGGCCACUGAGAAAGAGGUAGACCUUUAAAAGUUGUUUCUAUUUUAUUUCCAUACUCAGACUUCUUCAGCAUAAUGUACUUUACACCAUGAACUGUUGUUAUCUGCUUAUACAAUCUAGAUAAUAUCCUCUUAUCCUCCACAGGUGGCCAUAGUAAAGGUCAUAAGUGUAAUAAAUCCAGACAUCACUAAUGUUGAGAUGUUCUUGAAGGAGUUUGAACAUGAGAAACAUCUCUCUAGCAUUUGAGACCCUGGACACAAGUCUCUAUGACAUGCUCAAGAAAUAAAAUGUCUGUGUUUCUGUAAUAUGGAAUUCUCCUUUGUUCUGAAAUUGAUCAAUAAAGAAACCCGAACUUCCCAUACAGCAAUAGAUGGAAAACCAAAUUCCAUGCUUGUCCUUUCUAUGUUUGUCUCUGCAGCUGUUGGUGGUCUUGGAUGUCCUGUUUGACAGGGCACAGAGCUGCCCCUUCAGGGUCAAAUGAAUUGAUUUUAGUGAAGCCAUUCCAGUCUCAAAGCCCAGCCUGGGUUGGACCGUUAACUUGGCCGGGAAAGACAUUGUCCUUGGCCUCCCCUUCACUGAGACUACAGACGAGUGGGGAGAGGGCUGCUGGUCUUUCUCUACCUCUCAGAUAACCCUCCAGAGUUGUCUGUGACUAGCAGAUGGUAGAUCAGAUGGUAAAAACUUCACACAGAACCUCCGCUGACCUCAGUGCAUAAUCUGUUUGCAGAUGAAGUUCAAGAAUGAGGUUCUGGGUCAACUAAAAGACUACCUGCUCCUGGAAAUUUUUGCACUUUUUUUCAGUGAGGAGGAGCAGAAGCAUCUGACAGCUUCAUUUAGCUGUCGAGGUCUGCUGAUGACCUGGUAAUGCAAAUAAUCUCAGUUGUGUUGUUUGAGUAAAGACCAAACCAGUAACAGUUUGUUGAUCUGCCUUUGAGAUAGUGGGAGCUGAUCAGCUGGCCUCACUCUGUCUCCAAACCCUGAUCAGUCCUAAAGGGGUCCUGCUGAAUUUGAAGACAGGAGUGCUUUUGUGGACCUCCUGAAAUGACUGCUGCAAUUUGACGGGGAUCAGAGAAACUCUCCUGGUGAAACUCUGCAGCCACUUUCUAUCCCAAUGUCACAUUUGAUCGAGCAACCUGACCGCAGAGACUAAGUGAGUAAGUGUCUGUGACCUUUCUGUUGGCAGUAGAUAACACAUGAGGUUUCAUGAACUGCACUGAUGCCUGUAUUGCGUGACUGACUCACACACUGGUUGUCAUACUUCCUCCAGUUGGACCACGUCCCAAGCUAUGAUGAAUGUCUUUCCAGUGGAGGACUCAGCAAACAAGGUGAGCACCUCUGUAGCAUUUAAACCUAAUCAGAAAUCAGCCACUAGCUUUAUGUUGGAGGUUUACACUAUGGUCACUCUGACAGCAGUGACAACACUCCAGUCAUUUGGUGGAAUCAAGACUGCUGUCUGUUAUGAAGGUGGUUCCACUGAUGGGCGGUUUCCAGACUUCUGAUGGAGCCUUUAGAGAAGAGCACCAGCUCCUGUGUGAUUUGAUGGAUGACUGCUUACUCCUUAAUACAAUGGUCAUCUGGACAACAUCCUUCUGCCAUUUACCAAAAUCCUGCCGCCUGGUCUUCUGCUGGACCACAUACAUGGGACAAUAAGACUCCUUAUCAGAAUCAGAGCUACCCUUUUCUGCUGCUGGCUUCAUUCUGUGGAGGACUGACUCCAUUUACCUUUUAAAUUUUUUGAUAUUUGAUAAGUUAUGCCUGGCAAGUUUGUUACUUAUAUAAUUUUUACAUUGGAUUUUACAACAAUAUAAUGCCUCAGACUACCUUCAUCAAAACUGUAAGUCAAAAGAAAGUUAUAGGCUUGUUGUUAAAAUGAGCAAUUUCCAACCAGGGAUGUCAAAACUACUUAACUCGCUUACUUAUUAAAAUAACUGUAGCUCCCAAUUGAUACGUACUCAGAGUUUGUGCUGACCUAAAGUCUUGCCAUAGCUAAACUGACUGCAUUGCUGUAUUUUAAGGGACAGACAACAAUUUCGAUAGUCUGACAAAAUUGACUCGUUCUAUGUAGGCUCCAUACCUGAAUGUUUUUUUUUAACUUGAAAAAGUAGUUUUGACACAUUUUUGUUCAUGUACAUAUUCAUGUUUAUGUUGGGAGGUGGUCGCUUCACAUACAUGUAGUCACAAAUGAUUGAUGUAAUAGUGAGUAAGCACAAAAUCUCAUUCCUUACGGUCCUCAUAAAAAUAAAUAAAAACAAGAAAUAA
This is a long non-coding RNA of Acanthochromis polyacanthus (spiny chromis), 2747 nucleotides long. RefSeq lists it as uncharacterized. Lineage: Eukaryota; Metazoa; Chordata; Actinopteri; Pomacentridae. The record is from RefSeq and is a predicted model, not a curated record. The transcript is spliced from 2 exons.